This 252-nucleotide ribosomal RNA is filed under the name uncultured bacterium. Its description in RNAcentral is "partial 16S ribosomal RNA". It matches the Rfam family "Bacterial small subunit ribosomal RNA", at positions 524 to 776 of the family's 1533-position model. The record is from RNAcentral.
GACAGAGGGUGCAAACGUUGCUCGGAAUCACUGGGCGUAAAGGGCGUGUAGGCGGGAAGGAAAGUCAGAUGUGAAAUCCCCAGGCUCAACCUGGGAACUGCAUUUGAAACUCCCUUUCUUGAGUACCGGAGAGGAAAGUGGAAUUCCUGGUGUAGAGGUGAAAUUCGUAGAUAUCAGGAGGAACACCAGUGGCGAAGGCGGCUUUCUGGACGGUACUGACGCUGAGACGCGAAAGCGUGGGGAGCAAACAGG